GAAUCUUCCGCAAUGGACGAAAGCUGACGGAGCAACGCCGCGUGAGUGAUGAAGGUUUUCGGAUCGUAAAGCUCUGUUGUUAGGGAAGAACAAGUACCGUUCGAAUAGGGCGGUACCUUGACGGUACCUAACCAGAAAGCCACGGCUAACUACGUGCCAGCAGCCGCGGUAAUACGUAGGUGGCAAGCGUUGUCCGGAAUUAUUGGGCGUAAAGGGCUCGCAGGCGGUUUCUUAAGUCUGAUGUGAAAGCCCCCGGCUCAACCGGGGAGGGUCAUUGGAAACUGGGGAACUUGAGUGCAGAAGAGGAGAGUGGAAUUCCACGUGUAGCGGUGAAAUGCGUAGAGAUGUGGAGGAACACCAGUGGCGAAGGCGACUCUCUGGUCUGUAACUGACGCUGAGGAGCGAAAGCGUGGGGGAGCGAACAGGGAUUAGAUACCCUGGGUAGUCCACGCCCGUAACCGAUGAGUGCUAAAGUGGUUAGGGGGGUUUCCGCCCCUUAAUUGCUGCAGCUAACGCAUUUAAGCACUUCCGCCUGGGGGAGUACGGGUCGCAAGGACUGAAACUCAAAGGAAUUUGACCGGGGGGGCCCGCACAAGCGGUGGGAGCAUGUGGGUUUUAAUUC
Molecule: ribosomal RNA, 622 nt
Filed under: Pseudomonas sp. SUCR62
Lineage: Bacteria; Pseudomonadati; Pseudomonadota; Gammaproteobacteria; Pseudomonadales; Pseudomonadaceae
Description: bacterial SSU rRNA
Rfam family: Bacterial small subunit ribosomal RNA
Source: RNAcentral